This 465-nucleotide ribosomal RNA is filed under the name Vreelandella stevensii. RNAcentral's name for it is "partial 16S ribosomal RNA". It matches the Rfam family "Bacterial small subunit ribosomal RNA", at positions 338 to 795 of the family's 1533-position model. Lineage: Bacteria; Pseudomonadati; Pseudomonadota; Gammaproteobacteria; Oceanospirillales; Halomonadaceae. The record is from RNAcentral.
CCUACGGGAGGCAGCAGUGGGGAAUAUUGGACAAUGGGGGCAACCCUGAUCCAGCCAUGCCGCGUGUGUGAAGAAGGCCCGCGGGUUGUAAAGCACUUUCAGUGAGGAAGAACGCCUGGUGGUUAAUACCCAUCAGGAAAGACAUCACUCGCAGAAGAAGCACCGGCUAACUCCGUGCCAGCAGCCGCGGUAAUACGGAGGGUGCGAGCGUUAAUCGGAAUUACUGGGCGUAAAGCGCGCGUAGGUGGCUUGAUAAGCCGGUUGUGAAAGCCCCGGGCUCAACCUGGGAACGGCAUCCGGAACUGGCAAGCUAGAGUGCAGGAGAGGAAGGUAGAAUUCCCGGUGUAGCGGUGAAAUGCGUAGAGAUCGGGAGGAAUACCAGUGGCGAAGGCGGCCUUCUGGACUGACACUGACACUGAGGUGCGAAAGCGUGGGUAGCAAACAGGAUUAGAUACCCCAGUAGUC